UAGCGAAGGGGGCUAGCGUUGUUCGGAAUCAACUGGGCGUAAAGCGCACGUAGGCGGAUCUUUAAAGUCAGAGGUGAAUCCCAAGGCUCAACCUUUGGAACUGCCUUUGAUACUGGGAGUCUUGAGUCCGGGAGAGGUGAGUGGAACUGCGAGUGUAGAGGUGAAAUUCGUAGAUAUUGCAAGAACACCAGUGGCGAAGGCGGCUCACUGGCCCGAUACUGACGCUGAGGCACGGAAAGCGAUGG
RNAcentral lists this ribosomal RNA (245 nucleotides) under uncultured bacterium. RNAcentral describes it as "partial 16S ribosomal RNA". It matches the Rfam family "Bacterial small subunit ribosomal RNA", at positions 523 to 765 of the family's 1533-position model. The record is from RNAcentral.